CGCCUACGGGGGGCAGCAGUAGGGAAUUUUCGUCAAUGGGCACAAGCCUGAACGAGCAAUGCCGCGUGAGGGAAGAAGGUACAGCGUAUCGUAAACCUCUUUUGUCAGGGAACAAAGGCGGGGACUAGUCCCCGGAUGAGGGUACCUGAAGAAAAAGCAUCGGCUAACUCCGUGCCAGCAGCCGCGGUAAUACGGAGGAUGCGAGCGUUAUCCGGAUUUAUUGGGUUUAAAGGGUGCGCAGGCGGCCUGUUAAGUCAGCGGUAAAAGCCCGGGGCUCAACCCCGGCGAGCCGUUGAAACUGGCGG
Molecule: ribosomal RNA, 305 nt
Filed under: uncultured bacterium
Lineage: Bacteria
Description: bacterial SSU rRNA
Rfam family: Bacterial small subunit ribosomal RNA
Source: RNAcentral